Molecule: ribosomal RNA, 492 nt
Filed under: uncultured bacterium
Lineage: Bacteria
Description: partial 16S ribosomal RNA
Rfam family: Bacterial small subunit ribosomal RNA
Source: RNAcentral
AGUGAACGCUGGCGGUAGGCCUAACACAUGCAAGUCGAACGGCAGCACAGUAAGAGCUUGCUCUUACGGGUGGCGAGUGGCGGACGGGUGAGGAAUACAUCGGAAUCUACUUUUUCGUGGGGGAUAACGUAGGGAAACUUACGCUAAUACCGCAUACGACCUACGGGUGAAAGCAGGGGAUCUUCGGACCUUGCGCGAUUGAAUGAGCCGAUGUCGGAUUAGCUAGUUGGCGGGGUAAAGGCCCACCAAGGCGACGAUCCGUAGCUGGUCUGAGAGGAUGAACAGCCACACUGGAACUGAGACACGGUCCAGACUCCUACGGGAGGCAGCAGUGGGGAAUAUUGGACAAUGGGCGCAAGCCUAAUCCAGCCAUACCGCGUGGGUGAAGAAGGCCUUCGGGUUGUAAAGCCCUUUUGUUGGGAAAGAAAAGCAGCAGGUUAAUACCCCGCUGUUCUGACGGUACCCAAAGAAUAAGCACCGGCUAAGUUCGUG